Non-coding RNA from Lupinus albus (white lupine), 207 nucleotides. NCBI's taxonomy places the organism in Eukaryota, Viridiplantae, Streptophyta, Magnoliopsida, Fabales, Fabaceae. The record is from the annotation of a GenBank genome assembly.
UCACUGUGAUGGAGAUGUGUACAUGCGACAAAGGGGAUGUUCUUGAAGAUGUUUAUAAUUUUCAACCCAAGUAUAUGCAUUCAGGAUUAAACAAGAAUUCCUAAGGAGAUAUUGGAAGCAACCCUAUUCCAUUGUGCAUCUAUGGAAGCAAAAUUCCAGAUGCAGAAGAUGGUAUUCAUAAACCCUAAAAGUGGUCUCAUUUUCUAC